CGCGAGAGCCCGGGUGGGCGCGACGCUUCCCCCGCUCCUUUCCUGCUCGCCAUUGCUCCCUUUUGUGAGGCCAUUACGGCCGUCCCCCUGCUCCCUGCCCCGGCGUCCUGGAGCCCAGCCGACCACGAGGGUUUUUCUCCGUGUUGUAUCUUCCCGAAAACCCAGAACCCAAACCCAAGAAAGAACCACUCCUGUUGUCCUCUCUCCCCUCCUCCAGUCCCAAUGACAUUUCCCGGCUUUUGUGUGAGAUGACCCAAAAGCAAGCCCUUCUCCACUCCUCCUCCAUGCAAUGGGGUCCCUAAAAGCUACCCUCACUCCCCUUCUCUCUUACUCACCUGGAGGAAGGGGAAUGGAGAGGAUGGACACCAGAGCCUCCUAUUUCCCAGCAUUUCCACACAGGGAAGACAAGCAUCUCACCGUGCGCACUCCGACAGGAGGGCAGGAGGCGGAAAGGUGGAAUAGCCCAGAAGAGCAGGCUGCUGCCCAGGCCCCUAGGCCACAUCCGAAGGACGUUAAGUCUAGAGCCCCAGGAAGGAAGGCGUCCUGGGUCAGUUUCAUUUCACAUAAACGGACUGUCCCUGGAUCCAGGGAAGCGGAUUCUCCCGUUUCCUCCCUGGUGCCUCAGUCUUUUUGGAGGCGCCCUCUGCUGGCCACUGGGAAGUGCAGGAAAGAACAGAGUCCUGCAGACUCAAAGAGCGUCUACAGAAAGGGACAAGAGGUAGAGACAACCGGGAGCCAACUGAGAGCGGUGGCUGGACUGCCACAAAUAAGAGAGGCAUGCUGAAGCCUUCUUGGAGGCCCCGUUCCAGACCCAGCCAGGGUGAAGAGGACUCCCAGGGGCGGAGAUCGAGGCCCAGGAGAGAACAGAGAGCAUCCUGCUUUAAUUGGAGACCAGAGCUGAUCUGAGUGAACCCACACACACAGGAGCGGCAGUCUUUGGCCCCAGGCCAGACGAAGGCCUGGAGCAGACUGGGGUGGCCCUGCAGGAAAAAAGCAGGUGCCCUGGAGUGGGCAGAACAGGCCUUUUGAGGUUAGGCAGGUGGGAACUGGCCUGAGAAGGACUGGGGAGGUGCAGGGGGCUCUGGAAUGGGAACUCUCCUCUGACGGAUAAUUUCAUCCCUCUCAAGGUCAGUGCCCCCCUCCCCAAGUUAGGGUCCCCAUUCUGAGUCAGUGGGCUCCCUGGGCAGCUCAUCCUAAGGGAAACAGGGCCGAAGGCUAACUUCAUUCACUGCCUCCUGCUUCAGGAAACCAUUCCAAUCACCGGGAAAGGGGCGUCGGAGGCUAGAGCCCCUGCCGGGCCCCCGGGGGCGUGUCGUCGGCCCGACGCGUCGCCGGCCAGCGGCGUGGCGAGGACUCUGGCCGGCAGCCUCCCGCGCCGUCAGGAGCAGCUGACUCGCUGGCGGCGGGCCAGGUCGUGGCGGGGCCGGGAGGCAGCAACGUGCGGCGCGGCAUGUCGCGGGCUCAGCGGCGGGGAAACGUGGGGGCGGGCCCGGCGCGCCGCCCCCCCACCCCACGCAGGCCCAUUCAUAAAACCCGCGGGCGCUGCCGGGCCUGGCAGCCUGGAC
This 1565-nucleotide long non-coding RNA is filed under the name Equus caballus (horse). RNAcentral describes it as "lncRNA (ENSECAG00000029272.2)". Lineage: Eukaryota; Metazoa; Chordata; Mammalia; Perissodactyla; Equidae. The record is from RNAcentral.